This 2117-nucleotide ribosomal RNA is filed under the name metagenome. RNAcentral's name for it is "bacterial LSU rRNA". It matches the Rfam family "Bacterial large subunit ribosomal RNA", at positions 3 to 2078 of the family's 2925-position model. The record is from RNAcentral.
UCAAGCUACAAAGAGCUUAUGGUGGAUGGCUUGGCGUCAAGAGGCGAUGAAGGACGCGGUAAGCAGCGAUAUGCUUCGGGGAGGCGCAAACAGCCCUUGAUCCGGAGAUUUCCGAAUGGGGGAACCCGCCUUGAGUAAUAUCAAGGUAUCUUAAACUGAAUACAUAGGUUUAAGAGGCGAUACCAGGAGAACUGAAACAUCUAAGUACCCUGAGGAAAAGAAAAAGAUAUUGAUUCCUUAAGUAGCGGCGAGCGAACGAGGAGAAGCCCAAACCUUUGGUACUUGUACCAGAGGGGUUGUGGGACUGCAAUGUGGCAUGCAUAUGGAUAACCGAAUGGGCUGGAAAGCCCAACCAAAGAGAGUGAUAGUCUUGUAGGUGAAAUCCAGAAGCAGCCUAGCAGUAUCCCGAGUACUACGGGACACGUGGAACCCCGUAGGAAUCCGGCCUGACCACAGGCCAAGGCUAAAUACUAAUUGACGACCGAUAGUGAACAAGUAAUGUGAAUGAAAGCUGAAAAGUACCCCGGUGAGGGGAGUGAAAUAGUACCUGAAACCAUAAGCUUACAAGCUGUGGGAGGCCUAUGACCACCUUCGGUGGUAAUGGCUGACCGCGUGCCUAUUGAAUAAUGAUCCGGCGAGUUGCUCAGUGUAGCAAGGUUAAUCUCUUUGCAGAGAGGAGCCGUAGCGAAAGCGAGUCUUAAAAGGGCGUUUAGUUAUAUUGAGCUGACCCGAAACCGAGUGAUCUAUCCAUGGCCAGGGUGAAGCGUAGGUAAAACUAUGUGAAGGCCCGAACGCACUAAUGUUGAAAAAUUAGGCGAUGAGCUGUGGAUCGGAGUGAAAGGCUAAUCAAACUCGGAAAUAGCUGGUUCUCCCCGAAAUGUCUUUAGGGACAGCCUUAUGUAAUAGUUGAUAGGGGUAGAGCACUAAAUGGACUAGGGGGCUUACCCGCCUACCGAACCCAAUUAAACUCCGAAUACUAUCAACCGUAUCAUAGGAGUGAGACUGUGAGGGAUAAGCUUCAUAGUCGAGAGGGAUUCAGCCCAGACUGCCAGUUAAGGCCCCUAAGAACAGGCUAAGUGGUAAAGGAUGUAAGAUUACUUAGACAACCGGGAUGUUGGCUUAGAGGCAGCCAUCAUUUAAAGAUUGCGUAAUAGCUCACCGGUCAAUGUGAUCUUGCGCCGAUAAUAAUCGGGGCUCAAGCCUGUCGCCGAAACUGCAGAUUUAUUUUGAUCUUCGGAUCGAAAUGAGUGGUAGGGGAGCGUUCUAUGCUAGGAUGAAGGAGUACCGUAAGGAGCUCUGGACGAAAUAGAAGUGAUUAUGCCGGAAUGAGUAGCGAAAAGACCCGUGAGAAACGGGUCCGCCGUAAGCCUAAGGUUUCCUGGGGAAGGUUAAUCCACCCAGGGUUAGUCGUGCCUAAGCUGAGGCCGAAAGGCGUAAGCGAUGGACAAUCUGUUAAUAUUCAGAUACCACCUGUUAUGCGCUAUCAGUUGCAACAUGACGCAGUAGGUUAGAUCUACCCAGUGCUGGAUGUCUGGGGACAAGCCCGUAGCCUUGCAUUUGAAAGAGUGUAAGGUGAGAGGUUACGUGGAGUCCAAUCUACGGAGCGGAUGAACCGAUUGACGCCACACUGCCAAGAAAAACAGUUGUAACGAGUAUAGCGGGUGAACGUACCGUAACCCAACACAGGUAGGCGAGGAGAAUAUCCUAAGGCGCUCGAGAGAACCCUCGUUAAGGAACUCGGCAAAUUUGCCCCGUAACUUCGGAAGAAGGGGUACCUCGAAUCCUGUAGAUGUACAAUCGAAGGGAAUCGAGGUGACACUAAAGAGGCCCAGGCGACUGUUUAGCAAAAACAUAUGUCUCUGCUAAGUCGUAAGACGAUGUAUAGGGACUGACACCUGCCCGGUGCCGGAAGGUUAAGAGGCGUGGUUAGCCGUAAGGCGAAGCUACAAACUGAAGCCCCGGUAAACGGCGGCCGUAACUAUAACGGUCCUAAGGUAGCGAAAUUCCUUGUCAGGUAAGUUCUGACCCGCACGAAUGGUGUAACGGUCUGGGCGCUGUCUCGACGAGGGGCUCGGCGAAAUUGUAGUGACGGUGAAGAUGCCGUCUACCCGCGACUA